Molecule: long non-coding RNA, 325 nt
Filed under: Lathyrus oleraceus (garden pea)
Lineage: Eukaryota; Viridiplantae; Streptophyta; Magnoliopsida; Fabales; Fabaceae
Description: Pisum sativum (pea) long non-coding RNA (PSAT_LNC039813)
Source: RNAcentral
AAGAACUACUUGCGAUGGAACCAGAAGGCGAUUGAGAUUAUUGAAUGUGAUAAUAGAGAUAUGUAUUUCAUGGGAAUAAGGUGGUAAAGUUGGAGAAAUUCAUCGGUAAGGACUGUACGAAUACGCGAAGAAGAAGAAGCUCCAUAUAGGAGAUAAUGUGAGUUUUAUAAUUCGUAGUCCUCCAGACCGUCUAUUUGUGUAUAUUAUCAAGCAUGGUAGAUAUGGUGUUUUUGUUUGAUGUGAAGACAAUGGAAGUAAAUAUCAAUGGUUGUGGGUUUUAAAAGUAUGGAUGAAAAUGUUAAGAACAAUCGGUAUGAGGUUUAGA